UUCUCUGUUCUCUUCUUCUCCAAUCUCUUUGUUCCAACCACAUCUCAGAUCCACCAUCUUCUCCGAUCUUUUCUCUUCUUCUUCGUUUUCUUUGUUCCAGCCACAUCUUCAACCUCAUUGAUCUUCUUCGUUCUCUUCGUUCAUGCCACAUCUCUAAUCGACCCCAUCUUCUUAGUAACCUUCAUGAUUGACAUCGUCGUUCAACUAACGACGACGAUGUCUCUCUGUUCGUCUCUCUACUGCUAACUCUAUCAUCGUCACUUCGGGCCAAGGAAGAUCAAUAAACAAUUGUUCAUUGAUAUUAGGAUUAUACCAAUUUGCUGCAUCUAAAAAACUUCUUAUAUUUAGAGAUUCACAACUCGAGGGAUGGUUAGUGGAUUUGUUAUCAAAAGUAAGAAACCUAGAACUUUUGAGGUAAUGAAGAGAGAAUUGAAGAAGCAUCUGUCUAGGGGAUUCUCCGCAACAAUAUUCUUCCCUUUUGUCGAGUUGAUAGUUACAAGUUCCAUGCUGCUGGUAGAAAGGAUGUUGAUGUUCGAAUGUUGGGUUCAGGUAGACCUUUCUUGGUUGAGAUAUAGAACGCACGUCUUCUCCUAUUUGAUGUGAUAAUAAAUGAAAUACAGUCAAAGAUAAAUAGCUCAGAGAAUAAAUUGAAGCAAUAUGCUUCACCUUUGUGGACAUCUCGCCCACUCGAGGAUGAUGAUUUUUUUAUCAAUAUCAUCACUCAAAUACUCGGACUCCAAUAAGAGUGCUUCAUUGUCGAAUUCCAUUAGAACAUGAAAAGAUCAAUCUGGAUGAAGAUUAAGAAUGUUGCUGAAAGUUCUCAGUAUUAUCUCGUACAUUUGUGUACCCAGGUUUUGUCUUGCUACAACAGUGGGAGAUUUGUAGAGGAUCAAAGGGGACGUAGACAAGGAAGACAAUGGCGAUGCCAAUGAAGAUAUCGAGUUUAUCAGUUUUAUUGUGAUGUAUUGAGUUUUCUAAAACAUGGUAGUUUUUUGUUUAGGUUUGUUCACAAAGGAUUUUUUUUUCCUUUAUAAACAUAAUUGUAAUGGA
Cucumis melo (muskmelon) is the source of this 1050-nucleotide long non-coding RNA. RefSeq lists it as uncharacterized. The transcript has 11 exons. The record is from RefSeq and is a predicted model, not a curated record. Lineage: Eukaryota; Viridiplantae; Streptophyta; Magnoliopsida; Cucurbitales; Cucurbitaceae.